This 481-nucleotide ribosomal RNA is filed under the name uncultured bacterium. Its description in RNAcentral is "partial 16S ribosomal RNA". It matches the Rfam family "Bacterial small subunit ribosomal RNA", at positions 28 to 507 of the family's 1533-position model. The record is from RNAcentral.
GACGAACGUUGGCGGCGUGCUUAAUACAUGCAAGUCAACUGAAGCAGUGGUAGCAAUAUCGCUGUGGAGGUGGCGCACGGGUGAGUAACACGUAGGUAAUUUGCCUUCAGGUCUGGCAUAACUCCGGGAAACCGGGGCUAAUAGCAGAUGAUGCAGCGGCUCGACAUCGAGACAGUUGUUAAAGCUAUGGCGCCUGAAGAUGAGCCUGCGUCUGAUUAGCUAGUUGGCGGGGUAACGGCCCACCAAGGCAACGAUCAGUAGCUGGUCUGAGAGGAUGAUCAGCCACACUGGAACUGAGACACGGUCCAGACUCCUACGGGAGGCAGCAGUAAGGAAUAUUGCUCAAUGGGAGAAAUCCUGAAGCAGCAACGCCGCGUGAGGGACGAAGGGCUUUUGCUUGUAAACCUCUGUAGUGAGAGAAAAAAAUCCCAAUCUUUGGGACAUGAUGGUAUCUCAAAAGUAAGCCCCGGCUAACUACGUG